AUUGAACGCUGGCGGCAUGCCUUACACAUGCAAGUCGAACGGUAACAGGUCUUCGGAUGCUGACGAGUGGCGAACGGGUGAGUAAUACAUCGGAACGUGCCCGAUCGUGGGGGAUAACGAGGCGAAAGCUUUGCUAAUACCACAUACGAUCUACGGAUGAAAGCGGGGGAUCUUCGGACCUCGCUCGGACGGUGCGGCCGAUGGCAGAUUAGGUAGUUGGUGGGAUAAAAGCUUACCAAGCCGACGAUCUGUAGCUGGUCUGAGAGGAUGAUCAGCCACACUGGGACUGAGACACGGCCCAGACUCCUACGGGAGGCAGCAGUGGGGAAUUUUGGACAAUGGGCGAAAGCCUGAUCCAGCCAUGCCGCGUGCAGGAUGAAGGCCUUCGGGUUGUAAACUGCUUUUGUACGGAACGAAAAGCCUCUUUCUAAUAAAGAGGGGUCAUGACGGUACCGGAAGAAUAAGCACCGGCUAACUACGUG
Molecule: ribosomal RNA, 482 nt
Filed under: uncultured bacterium
Lineage: Bacteria
Description: partial 16S ribosomal RNA
Rfam family: Bacterial small subunit ribosomal RNA
Source: RNAcentral